Molecule: long non-coding RNA, 862 nt
Organism: Rosa chinensis
Lineage: Eukaryota; Viridiplantae; Streptophyta; Magnoliopsida; Rosales; Rosaceae
Exons: 2
Source: RefSeq, a predicted model, not a curated record
CUCCUCUGGCUUCUCCUCUCCUCUGCCUAACCAAACCUAACCCCCAGUUCUCUUUUGGGGUUUGGUCUGGUCUGGUUUUCCCUUUGACAUUUCUGAGGCCGUUCUCUGUUUCUGAUUGGUGGAAGGUUCCAAAGCAUCUUAUCUGUUUGUGUAGAUGGUGAUAAAUGAUAUGAUCCUCUUUGUAUUCUUCCACAGCUUUCUUGAACUGCAUCUAGCAUAAGAGAUCUGAUCUUUGCAUUUGAGGCAGAGGUUGCUCUAGAUUUUGGUUUGUGGUUCAAUAAAGCUGUGGGAAGAUACAAACAGGUUCAAAAAAAACAAAAGCUUCAAGCAAAAUUCAGCAUAUAUCAGAAGACGAUCUCUUCAGAUCAUGGUUAUGUCUUCACAACUAUGGCAAGGAAAGUCGAUUUGGGAAAAGGAUGUUGAUCCAUGUUCUUCAUUCAAAUUAGAACACGUGCCUUUCAGUCAAUAUCCAAUUUCUCUCAGCAUUUUUGGGACAACCAGAUCAUUUUACCAUGUGUGCAAGGGAUCAAAUUGAAUCUUUCAUGGUCCUGAGGAAGUGAGCCAGAUCGGCCAAGAAUAUUUAGAGCUUGGUAUAUCAAGAACUUGAUCGGCUGGAUUUACAGUUUGUGGUCUCACGGGGAUUUGAAUGCAUCCGACGAAUAGGGCCAAAACCCUUUUUUGUCACUUGAAAUUAAAGACGUUGGUCACGUUGCACUUGCCUAUAUCAUAUAGGUCAUAUGAUAAUGAUGCUCCACCUUAACUACUUUUUAUGUAAUUCAGUGUUAAUGUCGUCCACUAAUCUAGCAUUUGCUGUAAACCGUUUUUAAUUCUUGGUUUUCCUUUUGGAUUUUCUUGUUGAUAA